CUACCAUGGUGGUAACGGGUGACGGAGGAUUAGGGUUCGAUUCCGGAGAGGUAGCCUGAGAAACGGCUACCACAUCCAAGGAAGGCAGCAGGCGCGCAAAAUACCCAAUCCUGACACAGGGAGGUAGUGACAAUAAAUAACAAUACCGGGCUUUUCAAGUCUGCUAAUUGGAAUGAGUACAAUCUAAAUCCCUUAACGAGGAGCAAUUGGAGGGCAAGUCUGGUGCCAGCAGCCGCGGUAAUUCCAGCUCCAAUAGCGUAUAUUUAAGUUGUUGCAGUUAAAAAGCUCGUAGUUGGAUUUCGGGUGGGCUCCACCGGUCCGCCUUUCAGGUGUGCACUGGCGGGGCCUACCUUGCUGCCGGGGACGGGCUCCUGGGCUUAACUGUCCGGGACUCGGAGUCGGCGAGGUUACUUUGAGU
Molecule: ribosomal RNA, 418 nt
Filed under: uncultured Neocystis
Lineage: Eukaryota; Viridiplantae; Chlorophyta; Chlorophyceae
Description: SSU rRNA
Rfam family: Eukaryotic small subunit ribosomal RNA
Source: RNAcentral